This 250-nucleotide ribosomal RNA is filed under the name Klebsiella pneumoniae. RNAcentral describes it as "partial 23S ribosomal RNA". It matches the Rfam family "Bacterial large subunit ribosomal RNA", at positions 2067 to 2314 of the family's 2925-position model. Lineage: Bacteria; Pseudomonadati; Pseudomonadota; Gammaproteobacteria; Enterobacterales; Enterobacteriaceae. The record is from RNAcentral.
UGUACCCGCGGCAAGACGGAAAGACCCCGUGAACCUUUACUAUAGCUUGACACUGAACAUUGAGCCUUGAUGUGUAGGAUAGGUGGGAGGCUUUGAAGCGUGGACGCCAGUCUGCGUGGAGCCAACCUUGAAAUACCACCCUUUAAUGUUUGAUGUUCUAACGUUGGCCCCUGACCGGGGUUGCGGACAGUGUCUGGUGGGUAGUUUGACUGGGGCGGUCUCCUCCCAAAGCGUAACGGAGGAGCACGAA